This 97-nucleotide ribosomal RNA is filed under the name uncultured bacterium. Its description in RNAcentral is "partial 16S ribosomal RNA". The record is from RNAcentral.
CGGGUUGUAAAGCACUUUCAGUGGGGAGGAAGGCCUCGGUGUUAAUAGUACCGAGGAUUGACGUUACCUACAGAAGAAGCACCGGCUAACUCUGUGC